AAAAUAAUCAAAAUUAAUUUUAGAAACUUAAUUAAUGGGGUCUAAUUGUACCAAAAAUUAAUUAGUGGGAAGAGUUUUCAUAGAAGAUAACCUGGCAGAUUCUUAUUUUGUAAUAGAAUUUUAGUAGGAAAAGUUUUCAAAUAAGGAUGACCAUGUACAUCCUACCUUUUGCAAUGUUAUGCAUACGUGAGUGUGCCCGUCACAAUGUAAGUUCUGUCAUAUAAUUACAGGAUACUGAAUGGCUUGUCUUUGAAA
RNAcentral lists this unclassified non-coding RNA (255 nucleotides) under Hevea brasiliensis (rubber tree). The record is from RNAcentral. Lineage: Eukaryota; Viridiplantae; Streptophyta; Magnoliopsida; Malpighiales; Euphorbiaceae.